UGGGGAAUAUUGGACAAUGGGCGCAAGCCUGAUCCAGCCAUGCCGCGUGAGUGAUGAAGGCCCUAGGGUUGUAAAGCUCUUUCACCGGUGAAGAUAAUGACGGUAACCGGAGAAGAAGCCCCGGCUAACUUCGUGCCAGCAGCCGCGGUAAUACGAAGGGGGCUAGCGUUGUUCGGAUUUACUGGGCGUAAAGCGCACGUAGGCGGACUAUUAAGUCAGGGGUGAAAUCCCGGGGCUCAACCCCGGAACUGCCUUUGAUACUGGUAGUCUUGAGUUCGAGAGAGGUGAGUGGAAUUCCGAGUGUAGAGGUGAAAUUCGUGGAUAUUCGGAGGAAAACCAGUGGCGAAGGCGGCUCACUGGCUCGAUACUGACGCUGAGGUGCGAAAGCGUGGGGAGCAAACAGG
This 404-nucleotide ribosomal RNA is filed under the name Actinomycetes bacterium. RNAcentral's name for it is "Actinobacteria bacterium partial 16S ribosomal RNA". It matches the Rfam family "Bacterial small subunit ribosomal RNA", at positions 355 to 776 of the family's 1533-position model. The record is from RNAcentral. Lineage: Bacteria; Bacillati; Actinomycetota; Actinomycetes.